Molecule: long non-coding RNA, 4003 nt
Organism: Zingiber officinale
Lineage: Eukaryota; Viridiplantae; Streptophyta; Magnoliopsida; Zingiberales; Zingiberaceae
Exons: 6
Source: RefSeq, a predicted model, not a curated record
CCGGGGCGUGACACAUAAUACUUUAAACAAUCGUACAUUUCAAAUAAAUAAAAAAUAUUUAAAACAAUUAAUUUCUAAUGCAAAAGUAUCAUACAAUUAAUAUUAAAAAAGUAAAUAUUCACAUCAUCUAAAUACACUUAACUAUUAAUCAAAGAUAAAGUAAUUUAAUCUUUAUUUCGCCAAUCACGAUGCUCACGGUCACAGGGACCAGAUCCUCUUGAAUAUCAAUGAUAUGUAUAUCUUGUCUCUUGAAUCAUUUUACAAAUCAUCUCCUUUCGAUUUUCUUCUCUUUGCCUACCUUCCUUGAUAAGUUGUUAUUCCCUUUGUCUAUUUUCUUUGACAAUGAGUCCCAAUUUAUUUUUGCUUUUAAUAGUUUCUUCCUCCAUCCUCUUGCUAGUAGCACAUAUUUUUUCAAUUUCUCGAGAUAAUUCUUUGUUCUUCUCAUUGGAGCACAUGUCAUUGGAAUGCCCAUUAUAUGAUCUUCUAAAGUGUUUUUUGAUAGCAUCAAAAUCCAUAUACCCUCCCCUUACAUCAGUUGUCCACCACAUCACACCAUGAUUUGAGAUUGAAUGAAGGCUGAGAAGACUGAUUAUUAACAUUUUCUCUCUCUUUAUAUUGUUCAUGUCCAUAUUACAAUAGCUUAUAUUAGUUUAACAAAUAUAAAAACAAACAAGUAAGAAUUAAUACAAGAAACUAAAAAAAAUUAAUGAAUAAUUAAUUAUGUUGACUUACACUAACUCGAGCUGAUUUGUUAUCCAAAAACUCUUCGCAUUCGUUCAAAAACCUCAAAUUCAGCCACUUCUCAUCCCAAAUAUUUUUUCUGCAAUCAUACAUAAUUUAUGUCAAUAUAAAAUAGAACAAAUGAGAUACAUUGAAUUUAUAUCUUUGGUAGUAGACCCAUCCUUCACUGUCAUUUUAUUCUUAUGUGCAAUUUCACAUUUAAUCUUGUGAUCUUCUUUAUUCCAAUGAAUUUUAAACAAGUCAUUCCAUAUAUUAGCUUUUAUCCAGUCAAGUCUUCCAUCUAUCGUAUCUAAUAUGUUUGGUUCCCUUUCUAAAUCUUCUUGUGCAUAUGAUAAUGUUGCUUUCACUACAACAAAUAUGGUCUUUCUCAAUGGUGGAAAGAUAACGAUUUUAGGAAAAACUGUUAUAAAUUUGGGAAAAGACAAUGAUUUUUGACAAAAUCGUUGUCUUUGAUGCAACGGUUAACCCAAAAGAUAAUUUUAACAAUAGUUGGGACAACGGUGCAAUGAACCAUUAUCAAUGAGAAUUCUUUUAUAACGUUUGGAAUAAUGGUGCAUAAACCAUUGUUAUUGUCCUAAUAAGACAACGAUUAUAAACUGUUGUCAAUGAAAUUAUAACUAUUGUGUUUUUUCCUGCCUAAAAACUCAUGCAUGGGGAAAUGUAAAAAAAAUAAAAAAAUAACAAACUUUAACCUAGAUCUAUUCUUGCACAACUCCUUUAUUUACACUUCAGCCUUUGACCUCACCGCUUCACCGCUCUGCCAUAAAACAAGAAAGUUAGAAAGAGAAGAGGAGGAUGGACAAGAUGCAGAAUCUCACAACGACCUUCUCUUCUUCCUCUCCCUCUCCACGCGUCACUGACAUCGAUGGGGUUGUGCCUCCACUGGUGGAGCUGGUGGGGGAACGCGGUGGAGGUACAACCGAGAAGGUGGUUGUGGUGCUUGGAAGCCUGGUAGCGGUGGUGGAGGCGGGUGGUGGCGGCGGGUGGGAUCGAGGUUCUCAUGGAGGCAACGGAAACAAGACCAACAAUUGGGAGAGAAUUCGUUGUGCAUGUGCUGCUACAGCUUGUCGCCGAAAGCCCUCGUAUCUAAGGGCUCCAAGUGGGCGAAGGCACAAUUCCACCACUGGUUGUGCUGUCGCAGUUGGGCUCAUCGAGGGCUAAGCACGAGGCGGCGAUGCUACUGGGCUACUUGCGGGAACUGCGGUACUAGAACUAAUCUGCGCCAAUGGAUGCAAGGCAAAGAUUACUUGAGGCUCUCUUUAGUUUGAAUAAUGUGAUUGGGCAUCCUGAUGCAUUGCAAUCAGAUAAUGUUGUUUCAACACUUGGAAAAAUAUGCAAAUUUUAUCGUGAUGGUAUUGAUGCAGCUAAGGGGUGAGGUCAUUGGAAGUGGACUCGGAGGAGCAGAAGAUGGUGAUGGUUGGUGACAACGUCACUCCAUUUGAAGUCCUCAUUGGUGUAUCAAAGUUGGUCCUAUCUAUUUAUUCGUUAUGCACUCCUUAUUGCUUAUGUGGCUCGCUCUUCAGAGAUUUUCACAAACACCUUCAGCAUUCCAGUGUAUGUGCACUUUUAGUGUCUCAUUAAAGUUGUAUAUGAAAGAAAAUCUAUGCUAUUUUUUUUGGGUUUAUGUCAGCAGGAGUUUUAUUUUCUUAUGUUUCACUUAUUUCAGUUUAAUCAUAGUCCAAUUGUUUUUUUUUAUCUCUAUACCUUCUUUUGUGUUUUGUUUUUGGAUAGGACAUUGUUCUUCCAUAAGUCAUCUACAUCUGCCUUGUUUUUAUUAUGUUCAAUGAUUGUUUACAAUAGGUAUCGACAUGAUUAGGUGGUCAUGGCCUAUUGUGCUUGAAAAGUGAAUUAUGUUCCUGUUAUAUUCACGAUUCUACACUGGACUUUUCUUAUCAUUAUUUUUAAAAAAUAUUUUAUUUCUGAUGAAUUUUCCUAUUUAAUAAUGACUCAGCAGUGUCAUGAUAGUCAUGCACAUUUAGUUUCAUUUUUAAAGAGUGAAAUAUUAUAAUUAUAAAACAACCAUUUCUAAUUUUAUUUACAACUGCAUGAUGGUUUUAGCAUAAGGAGAACUAAAAAUUUACAACUUUUAAAAGGAAAAUUUUCAUGUGUGACAUUCCAAGAAAAUGUUGUACCAUGAAAUAUAUAGCUACAUCAAAAUAUUUAUCAUUUAUAACAAAAGCCUAAAUAUUCCAGUACUUGGUAAUAAGUGUCUUUAAGCCUGAAUUGCAAGUAAGACAAUUAAAGUUUCUUUUGUGUUUUUACCUAUAUUAUUUGGUUCAUCCAGAGUUAUUAGAAGAUAUUGAGAAAUUAUGACAAAAGACACAGCAAAUGAGAAUUGGGGGCAAUUAGUUUGGUUUCAUUUGGGACUUUGGGAUAUACCCAUUUUUUUACUGGUUUGAUUAGUUAGUGACCAGUUCAUGAUAUACUUAGAGUGUACCAUUAAAAACUGAACUGAUCCUUGUUGAACUGGCUAAGCUAUCUAGAGCAUUAGUGGCUUGUGAUUUAUUCAUGGGGAUGUCAGAUGGAAGUUUGUAUUGGAAUUCUUCAUUGAAGAGCUUGAUAAAUGCGGAACUUUGUUUAAGCAUGUUAUUUACCAUAUAGGAGACAUUAUAAGUACUAAUGAUCUUGGCUAGAGGUGUCAGGCAGAAAGCAAGUAUUUAAUUUCCACGUAGUCAUAGUUAUUUUUCCUUUUCUCUCUUAGCUCGUGUUGGACUUGUUGUUAUCCUUCAUUAAGGGUUUAUAGACAAUAUUGUCUUUUAUAAUUUUUUUCAUUAAAUUUGUCUCUUAUCUUUUCAAUGGUAAAUUUAUUAACUUUUUUUUUCAUCAAUGAGUAUGCCUUUUGUGAUCUUUGUUGUUACUGAGAUGAUUUUACUUGGUUAUAUGAGUUUCACAUCAAAUGUUUCCGACUGCAAACAUCAAAACUUGUGUCGGUUCUUGUUUACCAUGAUUUGCUGGGAAUGUUGCAACAUCCUCAUUAUGCUAAGUGAAAUUAGUUGAUUAUAGAAGAAGAGAAGAAGCAAAAAUCCUAGCUCUGAAAACAUUACAGAGGAGAGGCCACGACGUAUCGAAAAAUUGAAAUAUUAUUUGUUAGAAGGAUGUUGGUGAUAAGUUAUCGUUGUAUGAAUUUAUUUUUGGUGGUUGUUUACUUUAAUUUCAGUAAUAUACUCUUUGCAUAUAUGGUAAAGAGAAUGUAUAUGUUUGACUACAAGUUUGUAUAUAUGUUUGGCUAUGAGUUUGUAUAUAUACGAAGUGUUCAUUUGAA